RNAcentral lists this ribosomal RNA (492 nucleotides) under uncultured bacterium. RNAcentral describes it as "partial 16S ribosomal RNA". It matches the Rfam family "Bacterial small subunit ribosomal RNA", at positions 29 to 507 of the family's 1533-position model. The record is from RNAcentral.
AGUGAACGCUGGCGGCAGGCCUAAUACAUGCAAGUCGAACGGCAGCACAGUAAGAGCGUGCUCCUACGGGUGGCGAGUGGCGGACGGGUGAGGAAUACAUCGGAAUCUACUUUUUCGGGGGGGACAACGGAGGGAAACUUACGCUAAUACCGCAUAUGACCUACGGGUGAAAGCAGGGGUUCUUCGGACCUUGCGUGAUUGAAUGAGCCGAUGUCGGAUUAGCUAGUUGGCGGGGUAAAGGCCCACCAAGGCGACGAUGCGUAGCUGGUCUGAGAGGAUGAUCGGCCACACUGGAACUGAGACACGGUCCAGACUCCUACGGGAGGCAGCAGUAGGGAAUCUUCGGCAAUGGGCGAAAGCCUGAUGGAGCCACGCCGCGUGAGUGAUGAAGGCCUUCGGAUUGUAAAGCCCUUUUAUUGGGGAAGAACAAAUGCGGAUUUAACUCCGCCUGUUUUGACGGUACCCAAUCAGAAAGCCCCGGCUAACUUCGUG